GGAUUUACUAUUGAAGCCUUUGCAGCUUCGCAAGAAGUAUUCCUUUCGACUCUAACUAAAGGAUUUAUGCAAGUUGAAGACGAUGUCUUCAGCAACACAAUCGAAGUGACGGGGACACCCUAAAAUCUACAUCACUACCCACCGUAGGAAACUAUGUUGGUAUCUUGUGCGAAAGACACUAGGAACAGUAAUAGAAUGUAGGAUACUAUUGACUUAAUCGUCAGUAAAUAUGGGCAAUCCGCAGCGAAGUCUCUAAGUGCUCUGAAGCAUAUGAGCAACGUUCACAGACUAAGUGGUUGUGGGUAGAUGCUUUGCAUCUGCUUAAGAUAUAGUCGGGCUCUGAAGGAAACUUCAGAGACUGGAUCACCGUUCCGUAGGUGAACCUGCGGAAGGAUCAUU
Molecule: non-coding RNA, 399 nt
Filed under: Chirleja buckii
Lineage: Eukaryota; Fungi; Ascomycota; Lecanoromycetes; Pertusariales; Icmadophilaceae
Description: partial 18S ribosomal RNA
Rfam family: Group I catalytic intron (bases 37-356)
About the family: Group I catalytic introns are large self-splicing ribozymes.
Source: RNAcentral